AGAGUUUGAUCCUGGCUCAGGACGAACGCUGGCGGCACGCUUAACACAUGCAAGUCGAACGAGAGAAGAGGAGCUUGCUUUUCUGAUCUAGUGGCGGACGGGUGAGUAACACGUGAGCAAUCUGCCUUUCAGAGGGGGAUACCGAUUGGAAACGAUCGUUAAUACCGCAUAACAUAAUUGAACCGCAUGAUUUGAUUAUCAAAGAUUUAUCGCUGAAAGAUGAGCUCGCGUCUGAUUAGCUAGUUGGUAAGGUAACGGCUUACCAAGGCGACGAUCAGUAGCCGGACUGAGAGGUUGAUCGGCCACAUUGGGACUGAGACACGGCCCAGACUCCUACGGGAGGCAGCAGUGGGGAAUAUUGCACAAUGGAGGAAACUCUGAUGCAGCGAUGCCGCGUGAGGGAAGAAGGUUUUAGGAUUGUAAACCUCUGUCUUCAGGGACGAAAAAAGACGGUACCUGAGGAGGAAGCUCCGGCUAACUACGUGCCAGCAGCCGCGGUAAUACGUAGGGAGCGAGCGUUGUCCGGAAUUACUGGGUGUAAAGGGAGCGUAGGCGGGAUCGCAAGUCAGAUGUGAAAACUAUGGGCUUAACCCAUAAACUGCAUUUGAAACUGUGGUUCUUGAGUGAAGUAGAGGUAAGCGGAAUUCCUAGUGUAGCGGUGAAAUGCGUAGAUAUUAGGAGGAACAUCAGUGGCGAAGGCGGCUUACUGGGCUUUAACUGACGCUGAGGCUCGAAAGCGUGGGGAGCAAACAGGAUUAGAUACCCUGGUGGUCCACGCCGUAAACGAUGAUUACUAGGUGUGGGGGGACUGACCCCUUCCGUGCCGCAGCAAACGCAAUAAGUAAUCCACCUGGGGAGUACGACCGCAAGGUUGAAACUCAAAGGAAUUGACGGGGGCCCGCACAAGCAGUGGAGUAUGUGGAUUAAUUCGAAGCAACGCGAAGAACCUUACCAGGUCUUGACAUCGUAUGCAUAGCUCAGAGAUGAGUGAAAUCUCUUCGGAGACAUAUAGACAGGUGGUGCAUGGUUGUCGUCAGCUCGUGUCGUGAGAUGUUGGGUUAAGUCCCGCAACGAGCGCAACCCUUACUGUUAGUUGCUACGCAAGAGCACUCUAGCAGGACUGCCGUUGACAAAACGGAGGAAGGUGGGGAUGACGUCAAAUCAUCAUGCCCCUUAUGACCUGGGCCUCACACGUACUACAAUGGCUGUCAACAGAGGGAAGCAAAGCCGCGAGGUGGAGCGAACCCCUAAAAGCAGUCUUAGUUCGGAUUGUAGGCUGCAACCCGCCUACAUGAAGUCGGAAUUGCUAGUAAUCGCAGAUCAGCAUGCUGCGGUGAAUACGUUCCCGGGCCUUGUACACACCGCCCGUCACGCCAUGGGAGUCGGUAACACCCGAAGCCUGUAGUCUAACCGCAAGGAGGACGCAGUCGAAGGUGGGAUUGAUGACUGGGGUGAAGUCGUAACAAGGUA
RNAcentral lists this ribosomal RNA (1470 nucleotides) under metagenome. RNAcentral describes it as "bacterial SSU rRNA". It matches the Rfam family "Bacterial small subunit ribosomal RNA". The record is from RNAcentral.